UCCGACAGUAGAAGCAGAUCUUGAUACCAGCACGCCGCGUGAGUGAGAAGGCCUUCGGAUCGUAAAGCUCUGUUGUUGGUGAAGAAGGAUACAGGCACUAACUGGUCUUUAUUUGACGGUAAUCACCCCAAAAGUCACGGCUAACUACGUGCCAGCAUCCGCGGUAAUACCUAGGUGGCAAGCGUUGUCCGGAUUUAUUGGGCGUAAAGCGAGCGCAAGCGGAAUGAUAAGUCUGAUGUGCAAGCCCACGGCUCAACCGUGGAACUGCAUCAGAAACUGUCAUUCUUGGGUGCAGAAGAGGAGAGUGGAACUCCAUGUGUAACGGUGGAAUGCGUAAAUAUAUGGAAGAACACCAGUGGCCAAUGCGGUUCUCUGGUCUGCAACUGACACUGAAGUUCAAAAGCAUGGGUAGCGAACAGGAUUAGAUACCCUGGUAGUCCAUGCCAUAAACGAUGAGCGCUAGGUGUUGGGGACUUUCCGGUCCUCAUUGCCACAGCAAACGCAUUAAGCACUCCGCCUGGGGAGUACGACCGCAAGGUUGAAACUCAAAUGAAUUGACGGAUC
Molecule: ribosomal RNA, 564 nt
Filed under: uncultured bacterium
Lineage: Bacteria
Description: bacterial SSU rRNA
Rfam family: Bacterial small subunit ribosomal RNA
Source: RNAcentral